AAAUAAAAUAAAAUAAAAAAUACGAAACCAGGGAAAACCGGGGUUUGGCUGAGCCAAGCUCCGACAAAACCAAACCCCAGGACUGGUUUAGGAAAUGCUUUGAGCGGGGAAAUAAACCCAAAAUCGCGGUUUUUAACAAAGAAUUGUGUUCCUUUGAGAGGCAGCGCGGGGCGAGGGGUCCGUGCUGGAGUUGGGUUGGAAAGUCCAUUUUUUUUUUUAAUAAAAAAAAAAAUAAAAAAAAAAAAUUUAAAAAAAAUUAAAUAAAAAACUCUCUGUUCCGGUGGAAGGUCACAGUGGUCCUUUGAGCCUGAAAGUGAGAGACCCCCUUCCCCCCUUCCCCAUCACGUGAUUCAUUAAAUAAUUAAUGCAGAGCUUGCAGAACAGAUAUGGAUUCGUCAGGAAAAUCGCGGGCGCGCUCUCCCCGUGCCUGACGUGAAAUUCAACCGCCCUUUAAAAAGAGGGGGGAAAAAACCCAAAAAAAAAAGAUAAAAAGAGGGAAAAAAAGAUAAAGAGGAAAAAAAAAGAUAAAGAGGAAAAAAAAGAUAAAGAGAAAAAAAAAAGAUAAAGAGAAAAAAAAAAAAAGAUAAAGAGGAAAAAAAAAAAAAAACAAAAAAAAAGAAGAAAAAAAGGAGGAGGGGGGGAGAGAGAAAAGAGCGAGAGGGAAAAAGAAAGAGGGGGAGAGAGAGAGAGGAGGAGAGAGGGAGAGGAGUCUGCAAUAAAACAAUUCUCGGGGAGCGCCAAGCCACGCCGAGGGCUGGAUUAUUUGACGAAUCCUCAGCGCCCCGAGCCGGAUUUUUUCCUCCUUCUCCUUGGAGUUCUGGAGUCUCGCAGCGUUUCUCCUGUCCCAAAAUCCGCCCGGGGCCGGGAUUUGCUGGAGCAGCCCUCGAAGAACCGGGUGAGUUUUGUCUGUCGUGUCCGUCUGUCCUUCCUCAGCCUUUCCCCCCUCUCCAAACCCCUCAGCCUCGCUCCCUUUGGAUCCUUUUCCCCCCCACACCUCUAAAAAUCAAAUUUAAAUUUAAAUUUUUCCUCCUCACCCCCCACAAAAAACGAGCAAAAGGCAGCUGCGGAUCCCGAGCCCCUUUUCCCUCCACGGCGAGCCUGGAAAUUCUGGGAUUUAUGGAAUAACUUUGGGAUCGGAAUUCCUGCUCUGCCUUUGAAGGAGGGAAAAAAAAAAAGAAAACCCUCCCCGCUCGCCACAUUUGCGGAGGAGAAAUGAGCUGCAGGCCGAGCAGAAAUGACAAUUCCUGGCAUAACUCCGCUCGCUCCCACACGGACCAGGGUUUUGGGUUUUUUUCCCCCAGCUGGUUGAGGUUAAAAUGAGAAUUUUUUGCGCUCCAGAGGAGGCACUCGCGGAAUUCCAGGCGCUUCUGGGUGUCCAAGAGCUCCGGAUGAGCGAGAGGAGCUCCGGGGAUCCCCAGGGGAGCUGUCCCAGAGGGUUCUGAAGUUUUUAGGCGGUCCCAGAGGGUUCUGAAGAAGUUUUUAGGUGGUCCCAGAGGGUUCUGAAGAAGUUUUUAGGUGGUCCCAGAGGGUUCUGAAGUUUUUAGGUGGUCCCAGAGGGUUCUGAAGAAGUUUUUAGGUGGUCCCAGAGGGUUCUGAAGAAGUUCUUAGGUGGUCCCAGAGGGCUCUGAAGAAGUUUUUAGGUGGUCCCAGAGGGUUCUGAAGAAGUUUUUAGGUUAUCCAAGAUGUUUUAAAGAAGUUUUGAAGUUGUCUGAGAUAGUUUUAAAGAAGUUUUAAGUUAUCCGAGAUGGUUUUAAAGAAGUUUUAAGUCGUCUGAGAUGUUUUUCCGUGAGGGUUUUAAAGAAGUUUUUAGUCGAAGAUGGUUUUUAGGAAGUUUUGAAGUUGUCCCAGAGGGAUUUAAAGAAGUUUUGAAGUUAUCCCAGAUGGUUUUUAAGAAGUUUUGAGGUUGUCCAAGAUGGUUUUGAAGAAGUUUUCAGUUGUCUGAGAUGGUUUUUAAGAAGUUUUAAGUUGUCCAAGAUGAGUUUUAAGAAGUUUUGAGGUUGUCCGGGAUGGUUUUGAAGAAGUUUUUAAGUUAUUUGAGAUGGUUUUAGGAAGUUUUGAGGUUGUCCAAAAUGGUUUUUAAGAAGUUUUGAAGUUGUCCAAGGUGGUUUUGAAGAAGUUUUAGGUUGUCAAGAUGGUUUUUAGGAAGUUUUGACGUUGUCCAAGGUGGUUUUGAAGAAGUUUUUAAGUUAUUCGAGAUGGUUUUAGGAAGUUUUUAAGUUGUCCAAGAUGGUUUUGAAGAAGUUUUGAGGUUGUCCAAGAUGUUUUUACGAAGUUUUUAGGCUGUCCGAGAUGGUUUUUAGGAAGUUUUAAGUUGUCUGAGAUGAGUUUUAAGAAGUUUUUAAGUUGCUUGAGAUGGUUUUAAAGAAGUUUUAAGUUAUCAAGAUGGUUUUUAGGAAGUUUUGAAGUUCUUUGAGAUGGUUUUAAAGAAGUUUUCAGUUGUCUGAGAUGGUUUUGAAGAAGUUUUAAGUUGUCCACCAUGGUUUUUUUUUCCUCUUUCCCUUUUUCCCUGGGAAUUCCACGCCGGGGUUGCUGUCUCGUAGCAGGAGAUUGAUGUCGGAGCAGCUCAUAAAAAUGAGUUUUUUAUGAUUUUAUGAGGUUGUUUUUUUUCUUUUCCAGAUGAGAGGGGUGGGGGGGUGAAAAAAAAAAUCACAAUAAAAUGGUAAUUAUGGANNNNNNNNNNNNNNNN
Molecule: long non-coding RNA, 2686 nt
Organism: Cyanistes caeruleus (blue tit)
Lineage: Eukaryota; Metazoa; Chordata; Aves; Passeriformes; Paridae
Source: Ensembl